AGUGAACGCUGGCGGUAGGCCUAACACAUGCAAGUCGAACGGCAGCACAGUAAGAGCUUGCUCUUACGGGUGGCGAGUGGAGGACGGGUGAGGAAUACAUCGGAAUCUACUUUUUCGUGGGGGAUAACGUAGGGAAACUUACGCUAAUACCGCAUACGACCUACGGGUGAAAUCAGGGGAUCUUCGGACCUUGCGCGUUUGAUUGAGCCGAUGUCGGAUUAGCUAGUUGGCGGGGUAAAGGCCCACCAAGGCGACGAUCCGUAGCUGGUCUGAGAGGAUGAUCAGCCACACUGGAACUGAGACACGGUCCAGACUCCUACGGGAGGCAGCAGUGGGGAAUAUUGGACAAUGGGCGCAAGCCUGAUCCAGCCAUACCGCGUGGGUGAAGAAGGCCUUCGAGUUGUAAAGCCCUUUUGUUGGGAAAGAAAAGCAGCAGGUUAAUACCCCGCUGUUCUGACGGUACCCAAAGAAUAAGCACCGGCUAACUUCGUG
This 492-nucleotide ribosomal RNA is filed under the name uncultured bacterium. RNAcentral's name for it is "partial 16S ribosomal RNA". It matches the Rfam family "Bacterial small subunit ribosomal RNA", at positions 29 to 507 of the family's 1533-position model. The record is from RNAcentral.